GUGAAAGAGAAGAUACAGAGCAGGAAGAGAAACAAGAUAAAGAAAAAAAAAGAGAGAGAAUAAAUACAGAAGGUGUCCCUGCGACAUAUACCAUGGGACGGCGAACCCUUGGGUAAUGCUCUGCUAGUGAAGUGUGCCAGAGGUAUUUAGUAGUGAAGAGAUUCAUUGUAUAUAUUGUUUGAAGUGAAUUGCUGAAAGACCACCAAACCUGAAACAUUUUGAAGAUGAGAUAAAUACAACUCAACUGCCUAGUGACAAACUGGACUGCAAGCACGCUGUUAAAAUGGAGAGUUUAAUGAAUCCACUCAUGUCCACAAACCACUGGAAUCUUAAUUUUUCUCUGGAAUAUGGGGCUUCUUCCUAAGCCAAAUCUUCAUU
Hypanus sabinus (Atlantic stingray) is the source of this 378-nucleotide long non-coding RNA. RefSeq lists it as uncharacterized. The transcript has 3 exons. The record is from RefSeq and is a predicted model, not a curated record. Lineage: Eukaryota; Metazoa; Chordata; Chondrichthyes; Myliobatiformes; Dasyatidae.